UGCUUGCGUUCACCGUAAGAAGUUGAGUGGCGGACGGGUGAGUAACACGUGGGUAACCUGCUUAAAAGAAGGGGAUAACACUUGGAAACAGGUGCUAAUACCGUAUAUCUCUAAGGAUCGCAUGAUCCUUAGAUGAAAGAUGGUUCUGCUAUCGCUUUUAGAUGGACCCGCGGCGUAUUAACUAGUUGGUGGGGUAACGGCCUACCAAGGUGAUGAUACGUAGCCGAACUGAGAGGUUGAUCGGCCACAUUGGGAAUGAGACACGGCCCAAACUCCUACGGGAGGCAGCAGUAGGGAAUCUUCCACAAUGGACGCAAGUCUGAUG
RNAcentral lists this ribosomal RNA (325 nucleotides) under uncultured bacterium. RNAcentral describes it as "bacterial SSU rRNA". It matches the Rfam family "Bacterial small subunit ribosomal RNA", at positions 71 to 388 of the family's 1533-position model. The record is from RNAcentral.